GUUACCGCGAGGUAUAACCUGAAAGAAGCCUAAAACAAAAGUUGGUACUAACGAACAGAAACUGCAUACUAAGGCUUACCCGGGGGGUAAUGUGGCAAUAAACACAGACGCCCUAAAGCCGUCCGUAACCCGGGGUAGUAAAUGCAGUAGUAUUAACAGGAAGAUAAUGCA
Petrimonas mucosa is the source of this 171-nucleotide non-coding RNA. The record is from Rfam. NCBI's taxonomy places the organism in Bacteria, Pseudomonadati, Bacteroidota, Bacteroidia, Bacteroidales, Dysgonomonadaceae.